This 3451-nucleotide ribosomal RNA is filed under the name Triticum aestivum (bread wheat). Its description in RNAcentral is "partial small subunit ribosomal RNA". The record is from RNAcentral. Lineage: Eukaryota; Viridiplantae; Streptophyta; Magnoliopsida; Poales; Poaceae.
CGUGGACACCCAGAAAAAAUAAACGGCGCAAGUGGAUAGCCCAGAAAAGCCCAUCGAGCCAGCGGCAGUCCACAACCCCCCCUUCGCGUCCUUCCCCAGUCACGUCAUGCCCUAGGCUAGGGCGCCGUCGCCGCCAUCUCCACCGCACCAGUGGUGCGGCACCACCUCCCGCUUCCAAUCCCAUGGAGCCACCGUCGCCGUCGUGUUUCUCGAAGAGGCCGUCGUCCAAGGACAUCGCCGGCGACCGAGCCAAGCCUUGCGAGGAUGACUCCUCUGCUCUCUCCCCUAUCCUGCCGACGCCCUCUUCGGCUCCUGCUCCUCCGCCGCCGUCAAAGGGGAUAGCCGGGGACCAAGCCGAGCCCUGCGUGGCUGCUCCCUCCCCGAUCCCGGUGAUGGCCUCUUCGGCCCCUGCUCCCCCGCCUCCUCCUAUUCUACCCCAGAUUUGAUGGAAGUUACCAUGGGUGAUGUCGACGACCAAAUGGUGUUGACGAUCGACAAGCAAGCUGAAAAGUGGGAAGCCAUGGAGCAGGAACAACAUGUGUGGAAUGCUAUCGAUGAGGAACGGAAAUUAGAAAGGCAGAAGGAAAAACGAAGGCAUAAGGAGAGAAAGAAAAGCCUGGAAGAGAAGAGGAAAGAGAAGAGAGAAGAGAAGAGGAAGAAGCAAGAGAAGAAGAGGAAAAACCAGGAGGAGGAGGAGGAGUUGCAGGGGAAGAGGAAACAUGCUCGUUCAAUGAACUGUUCUGAAUUUGUUCAAGGAGCUACAACAGAGGGGCUACAGAGACAAGAUUCUCCACCUAUGACACAUAGUCAAAGAGCGACAAGAUCAUCAUUGGUAAGGUCACCGGUGGCGAGCACGUGGAGAUCUUCCCUUGGUCUUCUAGCAAGAGUUGCAGCCUCAAAAAGGGGCAGGUCUCCCUCAACGAGGAUUGCAAGUUCCCCAUUGGAGGAGAGGGCAAAUUCGUCCACGAGAUCACCAUCUAUCUUAGGAUCCCCUUCUCCAGUGACUACUCCAUUUGGAGGCUCAAAAAUUAAUCAUCCACAUGUCCGCAAGACAAGAAGGCUAACUUCUGCUGUUUGGAGGGAUUUCAAACCAAUUUAUCGUCAUAAGAUACUUGUCAAAGCUCAGUGCAAGCACUGUCAUGAAGUGUUUCAAGCUGGACGAGAUGUUGGCACAAGUGGUGUAAGAAGACACUUGGCUGCUUGCGAAAAAAGGUCAGAUUUACACCUCUACGUUGAGAAGAUGAAGUCCUCGGUUUCAUCUCCUGAUGCCUCUAUGCUUAAGCAAUAGAACUUUGAUCAAGAAACAUCUAGAGAUUUGCUUGCCAGAAUGAUAGUAAUGCAUGAGUUGCCUUUCUCAAUAGUUGAGUACAGUGGUUUUAGAGACUUCGUGAAAAGUUUGAAUCCCUUGUUCAAAAAUGUUUCUAGAAAUACUAUUAAAGAUGAGUGCAUGAAACACUAUAAUUUGGAGAGGUCGGCGUUCUCUGGACAUUUGAAGAAAUACAAUGGUAGAGUUUCUUUAACAGCGGACAUGUGGACAUCUAAUCAGACUUUGUCCUAUCUAUGCAUCACUUGCCAUUUGAUCAACAACAAGUGGAUUUUGCAAAAGAGGAUCUUUAGAUUUUUUAUGGUGGAGACUCCACAUAACAGAGUAACAAUGUUUAAUGUCUUAUUAAAGAGUUUGCAGGAGUGUAAUAUUGAGGACAAACUCUUUAGUAUGACAUUGGAUAAUGCAUCAGUUAAUGGUACAAUGGUCAAUAAUCUUAGAAAAAAUCUGAACAGCAAGCAUAUGUUGCCUAUUAAAGGUCAAUUACUUCAUAUCCGUUGUGCAUGCCAUGUGAUAAAUUUGAUUGUCCAAGAUGGGUUGACAACGAUGAAAGGUGUGAUAGAUGAUAUCAGAGAGAGUGUGAAGUACAUUAAGAGUUCUCCCUCUCGGUUGGACAAGUUCAAAGAAGUAGUUGCGCAAGUUGGUAUCUCUUGCAAACUCCCCUCGGCUGAUGUGCCAACACGUUGGAACUCCACCUAUAUUAUGUUGGAGUCAGCGCUCCCCUUUCGAAGAGCCUUUCGUGCUUUGGUGCAAAAGGACCCAGAUUAUGUGUUUUGCCCAUCCUCAGGAGAGUGGAAAAAUGCUGAUACAGUUUGUGCUAUGUUAAAAGUUUUUCACACAGCCACAAAUGUACUUUCUGGUUCAAGUUAUUCUACCUCAAAUUUGUACUUUCAUCAAAUCUGGAAUGUGAGGUUACUGCUGCAGAAGGAAGCUUCAACAAAGGAUGAAGUCGUUCAAGCAAUGGUUGGAGAGAUGCAAAAAAAGUUUGAUAAGUAUUGGAUGGAAUCAUAUUUGCCAAACUGUAUUCCUGUGAUCCUUGAUCCGCGAUUUAAACUUUGCUUCAUCGAGUUUCGACUAAAACAAGCUUUUGGUCCAGAUGUAGAAAGACACUUGCUUGCAGUGAAAGAAGUUCUUGACAACCUUUUCGAAGAAUAUUCUUCACAAAUGACGGAUGCAUUGGAUGAGUCAGCACCCCGAAAAUUUUUUGAUGAGGUUGUGAAUGAAGAGAAUGAUCCGUUGGCGGAUUGGGACCAACACUUGAAUAAGAAGCAACGCCAAACUGCUAGUGAGCUUGCCAGAUACUUAGAAGAAGACACAUUCACUCGCACGGAGGAUUUCAACAUUCUUCAAUGGUGGCAUCUUCACUCGUCUAAGUAUCCCAUCCUUUCUUGUAUAGCUCGUGAUGUUCUUGCUGUACAAGCUUCCGUCGAUCGUCAGAGUCAGCUUUCAGUACUGGAAAGCGUUUGAUCAGCGAUUACAGAAGUAGAUUGUGCAGCGAGACAGUGGAAGCCUUAAUCUGCCUUCAAGAUUGGUUUAGAUGUAAUGAUAAGCAUGCCAAUGCUCCUGAUCAAGGUCACUACUAUUAACUGAGGUUGAGAUGUUUCUGGAGAAAAAAUCAGUUGAGCUGACCGAAGAUGAGGCCAGUCUUGGGACCAUUCUGAUUCCGAUUAAUCAAGUGAAAGACCAGUGAGCAUAGCUUGGUGUACAAAGGUCGUCCGACAUAAAGCUGACAGAAGAAUGGAAGAUGCUCUUAGCUGAUAGUUUUAUCAUUUGGUGCCGUUUUGAGUCUAGGACUCUAGGUGCUUUCUGUUAAUUUUGGGAUAUGGAGGAUGGGGAGUGUGUUGCAUAUUCCUUUUUGUUCACAUACAUAAGAUAUUUCUGCUGCUUUGAUAGGCGUUUUUAGUUAAGUUGCCGCUGCAUGUUCCAUUAACAGCGAUAUCACAUACAUGAGAUAUUUCUGUGGAUUUUGUUAUUCUAGAGGCGACUACUGAAUGAAGCUCGAACUCACUAGUGAUAAUUAGUAGCGAUCGUUAUGUCAGUGUAGGCUAAUAUUCCACUGUUCCAGUGAUCUUUUGUAUGUCAGCUUAUCCAGUCUAAGCUUUGUAAAUAUAUGCGGCAGUAUGUGGA